This 457-nucleotide ribosomal RNA is filed under the name uncultured bacterium. RNAcentral describes it as "partial 16S ribosomal RNA". It matches the Rfam family "Bacterial small subunit ribosomal RNA", at positions 29 to 507 of the family's 1533-position model. The record is from RNAcentral.
AACGAACGCUGGCGGCAUGCCUAACACAUGCAAGUCGAACGAGACCUUCGGGUCUAGUGGCGCACGGGUGCGUAACGCGUGGGAACCUUCCCUUAGGUUCGGAAUAACUCCCCGAAAGGGUGCUAAUACCGGAUAAUGUCCUCGUACCAAAGAUUUAUCGCCUUUGGAUGGGUCCGCGUUGGAUUAGCUAGUUGGUAUGGUAAAGGCCUACCAAGGCGACGAGACAUAGCCGAUCUGAGAGGAUGAUCAGCCACACGGGAACUGAGAAACGGCCCAGACUGCGAAGGGAGGCAGAAGUAGGGAAGAUUCAGCAAUGGGCGAAAGCGUGAAGGAGAAACGCCGCGUGAGGGAUGAAGGGUUUCGGAUCGUAAAACUCUGUUAGAAGGGAAGAAAAAAAGUGUAAGUAACUGUGCACGUCUGGACGGUACCUAAUCAGAAAGCCACGGCUAACUAAGUG